ACCUCCCUGCUGUACCCGACAGCCCUGCCCUUUAUACUCCAACAACUGUACUUUGGGAGCUUCGUUUUCACGCGCGGAGUGCAGACCUCCCCUGUAAAGGGACGAAGGGAGCUGGAAACGCGUAAGCGGGCGUACCCACCUUGUCGUAUGACGGGGGUUUACAGCUGGCAGGGCAUCGAUAUGGCGGGGGUUU
Molecule: non-coding RNA, 193 nt
Organism: Anaerotruncus colihominis DSM 17241
Lineage: Bacteria; Bacillati; Bacillota; Clostridia; Eubacteriales; Oscillospiraceae
Source: Rfam